GAUUCUUACAAAUGAAGGUGUUCAGCAUAAAGUCUACGUACAUUUUAAAAAAUUCUGAUAACUCCUGUCAAAUUGUUUCACUAUCUGGUCCCAGUUUCCUUCCACUGCUUUUGUUUCCAUACCUUUACUGUCUGUUUUCACAUGUUUGUUUUUUUAGGUGAACUUUAGUAUCGUUUUGCCAAGUAUUAUCAGGCCUUGUUUUCGAAUGAGUUUAGGGAUGAAUCAGCCACCAUGCAUGCCUCGAAAAGUUCACCGUCUGGCAAGGAAUGGAGUGGAGAGAGCAGUGUAGUGGGGGAUGAUAGCUGCAAACAUUUAUUUCCAUCAAGGCCAGGGCUGGCACCAAAGGCUGGACCAUGGGCUCUGGGAACCCCCAAGAAAGAGUAGCAUUUUGGGUCUGGGGCAAUAAGGGAAGCCCCCACUGAGAAGGUGUCCUGCCUAGCCUUUGCCCUGGCUACAGAGCACUUUUAGAACACUGACUCAUUAAAUUCUCACAAUAGCCCUUUGCAUUAAGUAGUAGUAUUAUCUCCACCUUUCAGAUGAGGAAACUGAGUCCUGGAGAAUGAAGGUCUUGCCCAGCUCCAUCCUCCCAGCUCUUAAAUGCCUUUCCCUUUCUCUUUGCUGUGCUUCCCCCAUCACCUCUACCCCCAGCCUCCUGCCCCACAUCCUGUGCCAUGCUGGCUGGGCUGACAGAGCCCUGGGCUGUGGGCGCUUGCCUAUGGACUCUGCCCAGGGCUGGGUAUCCUCCUUCCAGAGGCCUUGGACCCAGACCCCACUGUCCAGGUGGACUGGGCUUUCACAGCAGGCUCGCCCCUGCAACUGCUCUGAGGCCCAGACCACACGAAGCUGCCUCAUUUCCCAACCCAGGAAUGCUAGGUCAUCCUAUCCCAUCCCUUCUCCAGCCAAACACCUCCUUCAGAAAUUAGGCCUUCAGAAGUUCUUUUGGGUUAAGCAUUUGCCACAUUCUACAUUUUUCUAAAUGCACAUCACUCUGACAGGAACCCACAGUAAUUCCCAAAAGUUCUGUGUGAAUAAAGUCAUUCUAUCUUUUCCCUCAGGUUAAGAAAGGCCUGACGCUCUCUGACAGGUCCUUGUGAAGUGGGAAGUAAGGGGAGUGGGAAUUAAACUGGCAGUUAACCCCACAUUACUAACAUCUCUGCCGCAACUCUUUCUCCCUCACCCCGGCCUCACCCAAGUACUUAGCCUGGCGUUCAAGGACCUUCACUGGGAAUUCUGGGGAAAGCCUCAUAAAGCAGAGCAGCAGGAAGCCCGGAGUGGAGGACCCAGCAGGGAGAGCCUCCUCCUUCACUGGAGGACAUGGCCAACCUCAGGUCAGACUACAGCCUGUGUCCAUCAGCCUCUCUGGUGAUGGGAACAGAUUACGUAUGCGCACACUGGAGGGAAUUACGGUAUUUCCUGACUGCGGCUCUUUGCCGGCUCUGGCUCCCCAGUGUGUCCAAAACAGGAACUGCAGUCGAGCCAAACCGGCUCCGCCCACUUCCGGCGGAGUUCCUGGAGGAGGCGCCGCUUCUGGAAGCCGGGCCGUCACGCGCGAGGUGCCCCAGGGAAGGUGUGGAGACACAGACUAUCUCCAGACAGCAGUGGCUGCAGGAGGAAGAUGAUAAAGCAGCAGUCACUUCAUUCUGCUGGUUCAAGAUCAUGGACAUCAAGGAUGGCAGCUGGGCAGCUGUGCCAGCCAACUGCUCCCUGGCACCUCUGCAUCCAUCAGGGAGGCCAGGGCUUGGAGAGUGACCAACCACCAGCUGUCUGCAGCUUCUGGGCCCAGUCGGGCGGACGGGCCGCUCGCGACCAGGCAGAACACAGAGGAGCUCCGGAGCGGCGGCAUGGAGGAGGAGCUGGCGUGGGAGACCCAGGGCCGUGAGUCCGCGGGGUGGGGGCCGGGACAGGGGCGGGUAGAGGCCCGAGAGGAUGCGCCGCAACCCAGCGGGGGCGACCGAGCCUGAGAUCUGCGCGGUCCGCGUGGCCACCUGCGUCUUGGGCUUCUUUGUGGCCCCGAGAGGAACUCGCACCUGGCGGAGGGGACAUUGGCUGCUCACCUGGGACUGGGGGUGCUCCCUGCCCUGGAGUGGGGAGCUUGGGUGGAGGAGACAUUAGCUCGAAAGAAGAUGGGAAUACGAUCCUUUAUUGGGUGCUUACUUUGUGUGCCAGCACUUUAUUUGAUCUCCACGGCAGCCUUCUGGGUAGGACCUACUGUUAUCUCCAUUUUGCAGAAGAGAAAGCUGAGGCACAAAGUGGUUAAACAAGUUGCCCAAGGUCACACAGCCUUAAAGUGGUCGAAAUGCUGAGGGCCCCAGCUCCCUUAGAAUGUCGGGGCUGGAUGGGGAGUGGAGGAGGUAUGGUGUGCUGCAGGGGGGAUCAGGGCACCUCAGAGCCCCCUCCAGGAGUGUGCCUGGCUGCUAGGGCCUCUGGGCCAGGCAGUGGCAUCCCUGUGGACAUCAGCCAGCUUCGGGGACCUUUGGCUGCACUGCCAAAGGGAGUGAAGGACUGUGCCAUUUUCCUCACUGGGAUGCAGAUGGAAGUGGGGGUUCUAUCAGGUGCUAAGCCUUUCAAACAGGUACAGGGUUCUGCUUGGGGCAGACAUCACUUGAGCAGGCCCUUAAAGAACGUGCAGCAAUGGAUCAUUGGGGUGCGCGGGAGGGAAUUCUGCGCAGAGGACCCAGCAUAGGCACAGGCUCAGAGGCCAGAGUGCAGUGUGUGUCUGUUGUGUCCAGAAAGAGGAUGCAUGGAUUGAGAUGCAUGGAAGAGAUGAGACUGAAGUUGAUUUCACUGGCGCUCUCCAGGGCCUCCAUGCUCUCCUUCAGGCUCUUGGCUGUUUGCCAGCACAAACCAGGCCACUCUCCCAGGCUUCCGUCAAGAGAAAGGGAGUCAGAGCUGGUAGGAAUCUCUACAGAUCACUUUUUCACCCUCCCCUGAUUCUACAGUGGAACCGAGGCCCCCAAGGGGGAUGUUUCCUGCUGUUAGAAAGUGGCAGUGCGGGAACUAAACCCCAGCUUCCCUAAGCUUACGCCUGAACUGCCAGAUCUUUUGCUGAACCUGGAUCAUAGUGGUUUUCGUCCAAGAGUUUAAGGAAAGGAAUGCUCAGGACACAGUUGCUUCCCGGAGGUGUUUGAGAUCUGAGUGAGAUUCUUCCAGAAGGACCCUCUCUUCCCCUAUGGGAAAGGCAGACCCUUUUAGGGGUGAGGAAGGGUGGCACCAUCAAUGGGGACCACACUUGGAAGGAGAUGUUUCCCCCUUUCCCCUGAAGUAUUGACAUGAAGCUCCCCCUGUCCCCAUACACCUCUUUCCUGCCAUUUACCUGAGCUUGUGGUUUGGUUUUCCAGGGAACAAAUGAGUCUCAACUGGGGCCACAUCUUAUAUAGUUCAAAAGCCCUGAAGAGACUUAAUGACUUGUGUGUCACUUAUUCAUUCAGCAAAUAUAUGCCAGGGCCUGAAUUUAGGGAUAUAUUAGUUAACAGGUCAGACAAAAAUCUCUCCCUUCAUGGGCUUAUAUUAUAAUGGGGGAAGCAGACAAUAAAGCUAAUAAAUAUGUAAAUAUAGCAUAGGCCAGUGGUGAGGGGUGGUGUGGAGAAAAGCAGGGCAGGGAGGUGGGUAGGGAGGGUGUUUCCUUGGUUGGGGCUUCACUGGCUCAGAGAGCCCUGAAAGAAGGAAGCCCCACCCCCCCCCAGGUCUUUGGCCGCCAGAAUUUAUUCUCUGACCCUUUGUUUUGGAGGAAUAAUAGUGAUGAUGACGAUGGUACUAUUUGCCAGAUACCAUGCUAGGAGCUUUUCACAUACUUAUAUCCGAUCAUUACAAUAACCCUGCAGGGCAGCUCAUGUCCCCAUUUUGCAGAUGAGGAAACUGAGGCACAGAAAAAUUAAGUAACCUAAGUCACACAGCCAGGAAAUGGCUCAGCCACAGGGCAGCAGCUCUGAGGUCCAUAGGUUGCAUCUGUGAGGCCUCAGAAAGCCCCAAACCCUCUCCUGUAUUUGGAAAGCCACGUGGAAUUUAUCUGGAAAAAACAAAUUGAUGGCAGGCUUCUCUGUCACUUUAAUGCAUCCCAGCCUUCCCUGCCAAGACACUGGCGACCUGUCCCUGGAUACACAGAGGGGCUGGGUCUGUACAUUUGCAGUGGACCAAAUGUGCAGGAUGUAGGCUCAGCAGCAAUAAAACCUCAAAUUACAUGCCCUGUACUGAUUGUGCAAAGGGCCAGCCAAUAUUGGGUUGGCCAAAGAGUUCAUUCGAGUUUUUCUGUAAGAUGUUACGGGAAAACCCAAACGAACUUUUUGGCCAGCCCAAUAUUUGUCCCUUGUGCUUGUGUAUCUAAGCCUUUCUGAAGUGGGGACAGGCAUCUGUCAGCUUGGGGAUUUUCAGUGUCACUCAUGGAAGCAGAGUUUUGUGGAUUCCUUCAUGUGCUCAGCUUUGGGCCCACUGUGAAGUGUGAGUGGGCUGGCAAGUGUCAGGUGUGGCCAGAGCCCCCAAGGAGCUUGAGGUCCAGCCGAAGAGACCGGACAUCCUUAUAAGCCAAGAGCAGUCAGGAUGACGGCAGCAUGGGGUUCUGGUGAGAUGAGCCCUGGACCACGUCGUCAGGCCUGAGUCCCCCUGGCCUGGCCACCAACCCUCUGAGCCCACCGCUGGCCAUGGCAAGGGGCUGGAAGGGGGGCUUGGAGGUUCCUUCUAGUCUGAGACUGAGAUGAAGGUGCAGCGACAAGGAUGAGAGGAGUGCAGAGACCACAGAGAAGGCAAUCAGAGAGGGCCCCACAACCAGGAGGCGAAAGCUGGUUAGGAUUAGGGGAUGAGGAGAGAAAAGGUGGAGGGACGAGGACAAAGAAGCCGAGUGAACACGCGCCUCUGGCCUCGCCCGGGCCUGACGCAGUGGGUGGCUCAGUAAAUCCUGGCUGCCUUCUUCACUGAUGGAGCCAUGGGAAAGGUCGUUAUCGACUCCAGUGGGAAUGAAUUGCAUUCCUUUCCUCAAGAACAGCAAUAGCAGUCAGGACAACUGGAUGACAGGGCACCUCUGAGAGGGGAGGGGCACACACCUGGCUCCUGUGGAUGGUCUUGCCCACGGUCUCCCAGCUUUAGGGUUCUGCCGAGUCCUGGUCACGUGGACAUGAGGUGCGCUGGAAGGAGAAGCAGCCUGUCUGGGGAAAUCUCCAACAUUAAGAAAGAGGAGAAGCAUCCACCCACCAUUCUGAGCUGGAAGACCCCCUGCCUAGGAGACAUUCAAGCCAGGGAGGGGCUGUUCCCCGAUCCUCCUUAUACAGUGUCGGGGGUCCUCCGCCCUCAUCCUGCACCCCUUUUUGUCCCAACAGUGCUUCCUCUGGAGAGGCAGCUCCAUGAGGCUGCCCGCCGGAACCACGUUGGGAGGAUGAAGGAGCCGAUCGGGAGGAGAGUACACAUCAGGGCCAGAAAUCACGUGUGUAAAGGGGCUCCGGCUGGGAAUAAUGCUAUAGUGUCACCUCCACACAGGAGGGACAGUUCCCGGAGCCUGGGGCAGGCACAUCGGCACGUGUUAACUUGGGGGAGGCUCAGGCCCUGGCCUCCUUGUCCACUUUGCCUCAAAAUCUCUGAGGCCCAAAGUCAGGGUCAGGAUUCCAGUGCUCUUAACUCUUAUUCCUUGUGACCCAUCCAGAAGGCUCCUCCAAGAAACAGAUUUAGAGUCAGGAGGGCAGGGGCUCAAAGGUCAGGAGUCGGAGGCUGGCAGAUAGGGACAGGCACCUGGAGAGACAAAGGUGGCCUGGUGCCUCUGGUCAGAAGUCCAGGGGUUCUGGACCAAGGGAGGCUGAUGUGUCAGUUGCAAUGUUUUUUUUUUUUUUUACAGUGUUUUGUUUUAAAAUCUUUAUUGAAUUUGUUACAAUAUGGCUUCUGUUUUAUGCUUUGGUUUUUUGGCCACAAGGCAUGUGAGAUCUUAACUCCCCGACCAGGGAUCCAACCUGCACCCCCUGCACUGGAAGGCGAAGUCUUAACCACUGGACCGCCAGGUCCCUGAGGCAUCCUCCCAACGUGGUUCCGGCGGGCAGCCUCAUGGAGCUGCCUCUCCAGAGGAAGCACUGU
Orcinus orca (killer whale) is the source of this 6048-nucleotide long non-coding RNA. RefSeq lists it as uncharacterized. The record is from RefSeq and is a predicted model, not a curated record. NCBI's taxonomy places the organism in Eukaryota, Metazoa, Chordata, Mammalia, Artiodactyla, Delphinidae. The transcript is spliced from 3 exons.